ACGUACACUCCUACGGGAGGCAGCAGUGGGGAAUAUUGGACAAUGGGCGCAAGCCUGAUCCAGCCAUGCCGCGUGAGUGAUGAAGGCCCUAGGGUUGUAAAGCUCUUUCACCGGAGAAGAUAAUGACGGUAUCCGGAGAAGAAGCCCCGGCUAACUUCGUGCCAGCAGCCGCGGUAAUACGAAGGGGGCUAGCGUUGUUCGGAAUUACUGGGCGUAAAGCGCACGUAGGCGGAUCGAUCAGUCAGGGGUGAAAUCCCAGGGCUCAACCCUGGAACUGCCUUUGAUACUGUCGAUCUGGAGUAUGGAAGAGGUGAGUGGAAUUCCGAGUGUAGAGGUGAAAUUCGUAGAUAUUCGGAGGAACACCAGUGGCGAAGGCGGCUCACUGGUCCAUUACUGACGCUGAGGUGCGAAAGCGUGGGGAGCAAACAGGAUUAGAAACCCUAGUAGUCCCAU
Molecule: ribosomal RNA, 453 nt
Filed under: uncultured organism
Description: partial 16S ribosomal RNA
Rfam family: Bacterial small subunit ribosomal RNA
Source: RNAcentral